This is a non-coding RNA of Nicotiana sylvestris (wood tobacco), 74 nucleotides long. The record is from Rfam. NCBI's taxonomy places the organism in Eukaryota, Viridiplantae, Streptophyta, Magnoliopsida, Solanales, Solanaceae.
UGCGGGGUAGAGCAGUUUGGUAGCUCGCAAGGCUCAUAACCUUGAGGCCACGGGUUCAAAUCCUAUCUCCGAAA